GGAAGAAAGUAGGGGAUCGCAAGACCUUGCGCUCUUGGAGCGGCCGAUGUCUGAUUAGCUAGUUGGUGAGGUAAAGGCUUACCAAGGCGACGAUCAGUAGCUGGUCUGAGAGGACGACCAGCCACACUGGGACUGAGACACGGCCCAGACUCCUACGGGAGGCAGCAGUGGGGAAUUUUGGACAAUGGGGGAAACCCUGAUCCAGCCAUGCCGCGUGAGUGAAGAAGGCCUUCGGGUUGUAAAGCUCUUUCAGCCGGAACGAAACGGUCACGGCUAAUAUCUGUGACUACUGACGGUACCGGAAGAAGAAGCACCGGCUAACUACGUGCCAGCAGCCGCGGUAAUACGUAGGGUGCAAGCGUUAAUCGGAAUUACUGGGCGUAAAGCGUGCGCAGGCGGUUUUGUAAGUCAGAUGUGAAAUCCCCGGGCUUAACCUGGGAACUGCGUUUGAAACUACAAGGCUAG
This 465-nucleotide ribosomal RNA is filed under the name uncultured beta proteobacterium. Its description in RNAcentral is "bacterial SSU rRNA". It matches the Rfam family "Bacterial small subunit ribosomal RNA", at positions 188 to 644 of the family's 1533-position model. Lineage: Bacteria; Pseudomonadati; Pseudomonadota; Betaproteobacteria. The record is from RNAcentral.